AUACGGAGGGUGCGAGCGUUAAUCGGAAUUACUGGGCGUAAAGCGUACGUAGGCGGUUUGCUAAGUCAGAUGUGAAAGCCCCGGGCUUAACCUGGGAACUGCAUUUGAUACUGGCAGACUAGAGUAUGAUAGAGGGGGGUAGAAUUCCUGGUGUAGCGGUGAAAUGCGUAGAUAUCAGGAGGAAUACCAGUGGCGAAGGCGGCCCCCUGGAUCAAUACUGACGCUGAGGUACGAAAGCGUGGGGAGCGAACAGAAUUAGAAACCCUAGUAGUCC
RNAcentral lists this ribosomal RNA (274 nucleotides) under uncultured bacterium. RNAcentral describes it as "partial 16S ribosomal RNA". It matches the Rfam family "Bacterial small subunit ribosomal RNA", at positions 523 to 796 of the family's 1533-position model. The record is from RNAcentral.